UACGGAGGGUGCGAGCGUUGUCCGGAAUCAUUGGGCGUAAAGAGCGCGCAGGCGGUCGUGCAAGUCGCGUGUGAAAGCCCCCGGCUCAACUGGGGAGGGUCACGCGAUACUGCUCGACUUGAAGGCAGGAGAGGGAAGUGGAAUUCCCGGUGUAGUGGUGAAAUGCGUAGAUAUCGGGAGGAACACCAGUGGCGAAGGCGACUUCCUGGCCUGUUCUUGACGCUGAGGCGCGAAAGCUAGGGUAGCAAACGGG
RNAcentral lists this ribosomal RNA (253 nucleotides) under uncultured bacterium. RNAcentral's name for it is "partial 16S ribosomal RNA". It matches the Rfam family "Bacterial small subunit ribosomal RNA", at positions 524 to 776 of the family's 1533-position model. The record is from RNAcentral.